ACCCCUGACUUACUACGCAACCGCGGACGGCUCAUUAAAUCAGUCGUGGUCCUUAGGGGCUAGUUAUCACUUAAUUGGAUAACUGUGGUAAUUCCAGAGCUAAUACAUGCAACUGUCAAUAUUCCUGAUUGUGGAGCUGUACGCGCGCCGUCGCUCGUGCGUAUUGUCUCCCGAUCUCGGAUGCUUUUAUUAGACCAAAGAUCGCGCUGAGAGAGAAGAGAGUUUCCGGUUCUUCUCUUUUUGACUCGUGUUGAGAUUGGUGACUCCGGAUAACAAAUCACGGACAAGCGAUCGUAUCCAUUAAGUUGGAGCGUCGCUGCCUCUUUCGAGUGUCUGCCUUAUCAGCUAUGAAUCGUUGGUUAUGCGCUAACGAUGGCUUUGACGGGUAACGGGGAAUCAGAGUUCGGUUCCGGAGAGGCAGCCUGAGAAACGGCUACCACGUCCAAGGACGGCAGCAGGCACGCAAAUUACCCAAUCCCAGAACCCUAACGCGUGCGCUUACAUCUCUGUUCAUAUAUAUCUAUCUCUGGCGCAUGCUUGAUCUCCAAACCCGUGUGUUUGAGUGAGAUAGUGUGUGUCGAGUAAUAUAUGGAGAUACGGCCUCGUGAUUGUACGGGGGAGGUAGUGACCAACCCUAACGAUGCGGGCGUCCCUUACGGGUCCCCGCAAUCGGAAUGAGCGCAAUUUUUCUUUCUAAACAACCCGUUGAGAACCUACUGAAGGGCAAGUCUGGUGCCAGCAGCCGCGGUAAUUCCAGCUUCAGUGGCAUCUAUCAAUGUUGUUGCGGUUAAAAGGCUCGCAGUUGAAUGUCAGUAAGGAGGGCAGUGAAGUGGACGUUGGAUAGAGAGAGAUGAGUUCAAUCAAAGUGUGUGGCUCAUGGAUCGAAGAUUUGUCAUCGACUCGCUCUUGUAAAUCUUUUUCACUUUCGCGAUGAGCGUAUGCAGUGUAUCGAGCCGUGUCUCAAACACACUGUGUGCGUGAGCGAUCGCGACAGAGUGUAGGUAUAGCGUUUUGAUUCUGUCCUUCUUUUGGGUAACACUGUAAACAUACACUGGUACACUUGCUCUCUUUCUCGUAAUAUAAAUAUCCCGUCCGUUACAAGCUUCCGCACUCCUAUACUUUCGGAUCUAAUACAUGCAAACGUAUGAACGAUCGGUCCGUCAAUAUAUAUUCAGAGAGAGUGUCGUUCGCCUGCGAGAGUGUGUGUUAACCCAUGCAUGAGUAGCGCGCGUUCGUCGUGUAAAUCUCGUCGACGUUUGUAUAGACUGGUCGGUAUUGGAGAGCACACCCUGAGUAAAUCAGAGUGCUCAAAGCAAUCGUAAGUCGUGCGUUUUACAUACAUUCCCUUUCCUGGGAGUUGUGUAUAUGCGCGCGUCGUGAAGCUCAAAAGUUAUUGAAAUCUGGCUAUACAAAAAGAUUGAUCUCCCACCGCGGGAUUUCUUUCUUGGGAAAUGUUUGUUACAAAAAACUAAGGAUGGUCUUGAUUUUGCACGGAACGUCGAAAGAUGCCGUCUGAAGGUUUUUUCGAAUGUGAAAGAACUUGAUCCCGUUGGGUAGCGAGUCCAGUGCGGUGUGUACGUUUUGGUCUUUUGUCUCUCCCUGUAUAGAGAGAGCUCUAGGCUAUACAUACCUACGCGGCCAACGGGUACGGAAUGCUUAAGAGGGACGAUCGAGGGCAUUGGUAUUGCGAGGCGAGAGGUGAAAUUCAAUGACCCCCGCAAGACUACCCUGCGGCUUAUUUGACUCAACACGGGUAAUCUCACCAGGCCAGCACUCUUGUACGAUUGACAGAUUGAGAGUUCUUUCUCGAUUCAGUGGAUGGUGGUGCAUGGCCGUUCUUAGUUGGUGGAGUGAUCUGUCUGGUUAAUUCCGAUAACGAACGAGACUCUCGCCUGCUAACUAGUCGGUUGGAUCUCGCGUAAAGAAAGUUGUGUCCGUGUGUGUCUCUUUGCAUGUAUCUCGAUCUAUAUAUUUUUCGCUCUCGCGGGCGUCUAGUAUAGAGAGAGUGUGUGUGGGGCACAUGUGUGUAUACCACUUCGAGUCCACCGCUUAAGUGUAAGUGAGAUGUGGUUCGCGGUGUAAUGCUGCGUGUCUACACUCCUGCUUAAUAUUCUUCUUAGAGGGAUCCAAGGCGCUCAGAAGCCUUAAAAAUUGGAGAGCCAUAACAGGUCUGUGAUGCCCUUAGAUGUUCUGGGCCGCACGCGCGCUACAAUGCCUCACUCAUCUGGUCCCGACACAUAACUUGCUUGUGCAAAACAAUGUGUCUCUGCUUCGCAAGGAGUGGGCAACCCAUUGAAAGUGAUCUUUGUCCCCGAAAGUCUAUGUUGCGUGCGUGUGUAUACAUGCGCGUAAUAUAUUUGGCGUGAUUGGGCCUGGGUUUUGUAACUAUCUCCCACCAACGAGGAAUGCCUAGUAGGGGCGAGUCACUGAACUCGCCCCGAUUAAGUCCCUGCCCUUUGUACACACCGCCCGUCGCUACUACCGAUUGGGUGUACCAGUGAGAUCUUUGGACCGUUAAGUAUCUCUCGCGUUUAUUCGUGAGCGUGUCUAUAUAAUGGAAAGAGGUUCGAACUGGUGUGCUUAGAGGAAGUAAAA
RNAcentral lists this ribosomal RNA (2595 nucleotides) under Eusiroides georgiana. RNAcentral describes it as "partial 18S ribosomal RNA". It matches the Rfam family "Eukaryotic small subunit ribosomal RNA". The record is from RNAcentral. Lineage: Eukaryota; Metazoa; Arthropoda; Malacostraca; Amphipoda; Pontogeneiidae.